CAGAACGUGGCCGAGAAUAGCCUAAGCGCCUCUUUUACACUGAGACUACAUCCAUGCAAGCUGGAUCGUUCUGA
This 74-nucleotide transfer RNA is filed under the name Boulengerella maculata (spotted pike-characin). RNAcentral describes it as "tRNA-Val". The record is from RNAcentral. Lineage: Eukaryota; Metazoa; Chordata; Actinopteri; Characiformes; Ctenoluciidae.